Molecule: ribosomal RNA, 253 nt
Filed under: uncultured bacterium
Lineage: Bacteria
Description: partial 16S ribosomal RNA
Rfam family: Bacterial small subunit ribosomal RNA
Source: RNAcentral
UACGAAGGGUGCAAGCGUUACUCGGAAUUACUGGGCGUAAAGCGUGCGUAGGUGGUUCGUUAAGUCUGCCGUGAAAGCCCCGGGCUCAACCUGGGAAUGGCGGUGGAUACUGGCGGACUAGAGUGCGGUAGAGGGUGGUGGAAUUCCCGGUGUAGCAGUGAAAUGCGUAGAGAUCGGGAGGAACAUCUGUGGCGAAGGCGGCCACCUGGACCAGCACUGACACUGAGGCACGAAAGCUAGGGGAGCAAACAGG